RNAcentral lists this ribosomal RNA (434 nucleotides) under uncultured Lachnospiraceae bacterium. RNAcentral describes it as "bacterial SSU rRNA". It matches the Rfam family "Bacterial small subunit ribosomal RNA", at positions 341 to 792 of the family's 1533-position model. Lineage: Bacteria; Bacillati; Bacillota; Clostridia; Lachnospirales; Lachnospiraceae. The record is from RNAcentral.
ACGGGAGGCAGCAGUGGGGAAUAUUGCACAAUGGGGGAAACCCUGAUGCAGCGACGCCGCGUGAGCGAAGAAGUAUUUCGGUAUGUAAAGCUCUAUCAGCAGGGAAGAAAAUGACGGUACCUGACUAAGAAGCUCCGGCUAAAUACGUGCCAGCAGCCGCGGUAAUACGUAUGGAGCAAGCGUUAUCCGGAUUUACUGGGUGUAAAGGGAGCGUAGACGGAACAGCAAGUCUGAUGUGAAAGGCAGGGGCUCAACUCCUGGACUGCAUUGGAAACUGCUGAUCUUGAGUGUCGGAGAGGUAAGCGGAAUUCCUAGUGUAGCGGUGAAAUGCGUAGAUAUUAGGAGGAACACCAGUGGCGAAGGCGGCUUACUGGACGAUAACUGACGUUGAGGCUCGAAAGCGUGGGGAGCAAACAGGAUUAGAUACCCUGGUA